ACCGUUUUCGACUGUUGCAGCGUCCAACCUGAAAUCCACUGACAGCCUAUUCCUUACCAUUGCUUCUGGUGACAUUCCAUGGAUUUGCAUUAGCAUGUGUGUGGAACAUUCUGAGGCCCACUUCUAAUCGAGUGAAUGGAGACAGACCUCACACAGCUCCGAUGUGCAAGCCAAUGUUCAGAGCAGAAAACAGAUGCAAAAGAAGCAAGACUUGGCAGAUGACAGACAAACAGACGGACAGACCAAUAUAAAAGAAAACCAUCUGGUCCUGCAGUUUCUUCCCUUCAGCCUUUAGAAUGCUUUAGAACACUGCCUGUGCCAGUCGCUGCUGGGGUGUGGCCUGGACAGAGAAGAUGGCACAGAGUGGAUGAUGAGAUGGGGGAUUCAGGCCCCAGCCUGGAGCUGCUCUGCAAGGGGAGUAGAAGAAGAAGAGGCACCAGCAGGCCCUAGAGGUGAUCCAACAGGCACUCUCAUCCUCUCAACUGUUGCAAAAGGAUUGGUGGUUAGUGGGAUAAUCCAGCGGUGUGGACGCUUCAGAUAGCUGCCUCCACAUGUGAGGAAGGAAGAGAAAAGAAUAGUAUACCCGACCAGCACAAUGAGAAUCUUAGGCAGCGUAUGUACAGUUGCUUAAAGAAAAGGCAGAGCUCUGCCAAAAUGAUGUAAACAAUUACAGCACAAGGCAUGGUUUUGAAUAUUUUGUGUGUGGGUUAUGUUAUUUUUGAUUGAGUGGGUCAUGUCCUGUUGCAAGCUGUCAUUACAUGCAGAUCACUUCUAACCUACAUAUAAUUUACCAUAGUACAAAGACCUACAGUAUAUUCCUCUUCAGUCAAAUAGUACUACUGUCUUUCUGAAAAUUAAUAUUUUCACCUGUCCCUAACACCUGCUUGUGAAAAUAUUUUCAAAAUGCUGCUUUUAUAGCUCAGUUAAGCAAUGAUUUCAAAUUAACAUUGAAAUUAACAUUUUCACUAAACUAUGGUAGUUGUAGCCUUGAACUCUAACAAAGCUGUUGAAUGAAUUCCUUAGCUUAUUAAACAUUUGCAAAGCUGAUUUCUUUAAUACUGAAAGACAAGCAUCUUUUACAUGCAUGUUUGCUUGCUUCUUAUUCACUGUCUUUGUUGCCGCAUUGCUGCGUUUGUUGGCUCAUUACUGUCACCAACUGUUGAUCAUUCAAAAAGCGUGAAAGUGUGAAUCUUUGUGUGUUUGCCCGAAACAAAAACAAUGAGGGACCCACCCAUUAAAACAUUGCUCCAUAGUGCUACUAGUGGUCAAAGAUGCCAGCGGGCCC
Molecule: long non-coding RNA, 1285 nt
Organism: Sander lucioperca (pikeperch)
Lineage: Eukaryota; Metazoa; Chordata; Actinopteri; Perciformes; Percidae
Exons: 3
Source: RefSeq, a predicted model, not a curated record